Molecule: ribosomal RNA, 497 nt
Filed under: uncultured bacterium
Lineage: Bacteria
Description: partial 16S ribosomal RNA
Rfam family: Bacterial small subunit ribosomal RNA
Source: RNAcentral
GAUGAACGCUGGCGGCGUGCCUAAUACAUGCAAGUAGAACGCUGAAGCUUGGUGCUUGCACCGAGCGGAUGAGUUGCGAACGGGUGAGUAACGCGUAGGUAACCUGCCUCUUAGCGGGGGAUAACUAUUGGAAACGAUAGCUAAUACCGCAUAAAAGCCGUUAUCGCAUGAUAUUGAUUUGAAAGGUGCAUUUGCCUCACUAAGAGAUGGACCUGCGUUGUAUUAGCUAGUUGGUGAGGUAACGGCUCACCAAGGCAACGAUACAUAGCCGACCUGAGGGGGUGAUCGGCCACACUGGGACUGAGACACGGCCCAGACUCCUACGGGAGGCAGCAGUAGGGAAUCUUCGGCAAGGGGGGCAACCCUGACCGAGCAACGCAGCGUGAGUGAAGAAGGUUUUCGGAUCGUAAAGCUCUGUUGUAAGAGAAGAACGAGUGUGAGAGUGGAAAGUUCACACUGUGACGGUAACUUACCAGAAAGGGACGGCUAACUACGUG